CACCGAAGCUGCGGCAGCGACGCUGAUACGUUCGUUGGGUAGGGGAGCGUUCUGUAAGCCUGUGAAGGUGUCCUGUGAGGGUUGCUGGAGGUAUCAGAAGUGCGAAUGCUGACAUAAGUAACGAUAAAGCGGGUGAAAAGCCCGCUCGCCGGAAGACCAAGGGUUCCUGUCCAACGUUAAUCGGGGCAGGGUGAGUCGACCCCUAAGGCGAGGCCGAAAGGCGUAGUCGAUGGGAAACGGGUUAAUAUUCCCGUACUUGGUGUUACUGCGAAGGGGGGACGGAGAAGGCUAUGUUGGCCGGGCGACGGUUGUCCCGGUUUAAGCGUGUAGGUGUGUGUUCCAGGUAAAUCCGGUUCACUUUAACACUGAGGCGUGACGACGAGGCACUACGGUGCUGAAGCAACAAAUGCCCUGCUUCCAGGAAAAGCCUCUAAGCAUCAGGUAACAUCAAAUCGUACCCCAAACCGACACAGGUGGUCAGGUAGAGAAUACCAAGGCGCUUGAGAGAACUCGGGUGAAGGAACUAGGCAAAAUGGUGCCGUAACUUCGGGAGAAGGCACGCUGACACGUAGGUGAAGUGAUUUACUCAUGGAGCUGAAGUCAGUCGAAGAUACCAGCUGGCUGCAACUGUUUAUUAAAAACACAGCACUGUGCAAACACGAAAGUGGACGUAUACGGUGUGACGCCUGCCCGGUGCCGGAAGGUUAAUUGAUGGGGUCAGCGCAAGCGAAGCUCCUGAUCGAAGCCCCGGUAAACGGCGGCCGUAACUAUAACGGUCCUAAGGUAGCGAAAUUCCUUGUCGGGUAAGUUCCGACCUGCACGAAUGGCGUAAUGAUGGCCAGGCUGUCUCCACCCGAGACUCAGUGAAAUUGAACUCGCUGUGAAGAUGCAGUGUACCCGCGGCAAGACGGAAAGACCCCGUGAACCUUUACUAUAGCUUGACACUGAACAUUGAGCCUUGAUGUGUAGGAUAGGUGGGAGGCUUUGAAGUGUGGACGCCAGUCUGCAUGGAGCCGACCUUGAAAUACCACCCUUUAAUGUUUGAUGUUCUAACGUGGACCCGUAAUCCGGGUUGCGGACAGUGUCUGGUGGGUAGUUUGACUGGGGCGGUCUCCUCCUAAAGAGUAACGGAGGAGCACGAAGGUUGGCUAAUCCUGGUCGGACAUCAGGAGGUUAGUGCAAUGGCAUAAGCCAGCUUGACUGCGAGCGUGACGGCGCGAGCAGGUGCGAAAGCAGGUCAUAGUGAUCCGGUGGUUCUGAAUGGAAGGGCCAUCGCUCAACGGAUAAAAGGUACUCCGGGGAUAACAGGCUGAUACCGCCCAAGAGUUCAUAUCGACGGCGGUGUUUGGCACCUCGAUGUCGGCUCAUCACAUCCUGGGGCUGAAGUAGGUCCCAAGGGUAUGGCUGUUCGCCAUUUAAAGUGGUACGCGAGCUGGGUUUAGAACGUCGUGAGACAGUUCGGUCCCUAUCUGCCGUGGGCGCUGGAGAACUGAGGGGGGCUGCUCCUAGUACGAGAGGACCGGAGUGGACGCAUCACUGGUGUUCGGGUUGUCAUGCCAAUGGCACUGCCCGGUAGCUAAAUGCGGAAGAGAUAAGUGCUGAAAGCAUCUAAGCACGAAACUUGCCCCGAGAUGAGUUCUCCCUGAGACUU
This 1651-nucleotide ribosomal RNA is filed under the name Salmonella enterica subsp. enterica serovar Typhimurium var. 5-. RNAcentral describes it as "bacterial LSU rRNA". It matches the Rfam family "Bacterial large subunit ribosomal RNA", at positions 1192 to 2823 of the family's 2925-position model. The record is from RNAcentral. Lineage: Bacteria; Pseudomonadati; Pseudomonadota; Gammaproteobacteria; Enterobacterales; Enterobacteriaceae.